ACGCUCGACACCUACGGGGGCAGCAGUGAGGAAUAUUGGUCAAUGGGCGCUAGCCUGAACCAGCCAAGUAGCGUGAAGGAUGAAGGCUCUAUGGGUCGUAAACUUCUUUUAUAUAAGAAUAAAGUGCAGUAUGUAUACUGUUUUGUAUGUAUUAUAUGAAUAAGGAUCGGCUAACUCCGUGUCAGCAGCCGCGGUAAUCUGAGCGGGCUGGCAAGGC
Molecule: ribosomal RNA, 217 nt
Filed under: uncultured bacterium
Lineage: Bacteria
Description: partial 16S ribosomal RNA
Rfam family: Bacterial small subunit ribosomal RNA
Source: RNAcentral